GGUGAACGCUGGCGGCGUGCUUAAGACAUGCAAGUCGAACGCAGUCUUCGGACUGAGUGGCGCACGGGUGAGUAACACGUAACUGACCUACCCCCAAGUCGCGGAUAACUGGCCGAAAGGUCAGCUAAUACGUGAUGUGAUGUCCCCUUUCUGGGAGGCCAUUAAAGGUUUACUGCUGGGGGAUGGGGUUGCGUUCCAUCAGCUAGUUGGCGGGGUAAAGGCCCACCAAGGCAACGACGGAUAGCCGGCCUGAGAGGGUGGCCGGCCACAGGGGCACUGAGACACGGGUCCCACUCCUACGGGAGGCAGCAGUUAGGGAUCUUCCACAAUGGGCGAUAGCCUGAUGGAGCGAAGCCGCGUGAGGGAUGAAGGUUCUCGGAUCGUAAACCUCUGAAUCAGGGACGAAAGACGCGUAAGCGGGAUGACGGUACCUGAGUAAUAGCACCGGCUAACUCCGUGCCAGCCGCCGCCGUAA
Molecule: ribosomal RNA, 475 nt
Filed under: uncultured bacterium
Lineage: Bacteria
Description: partial 16S ribosomal RNA
Rfam family: Bacterial small subunit ribosomal RNA
Source: RNAcentral